UUCAUUAGGGAUGGGGUAGGUUUUGGUUCUUGUUAACAAUGGACAAAAUUGAAGCCACGAACAAGGGGGAAUUAUCCGAUUAUCUCGAAACAUAGCAUCCCUUUAUAGAUUUUGUGCAGAGUAAUUCCCUGCACUGCAUCAUAGGCUUCAAUUCAUGUGAGUGACUCCACAUAAUUCUCCUGAGAUGGGUGGGAGCUUGGUUGUGGGCGCCCCCACUGAUCAGCCUCUGCCCCAGCAUUGGUUGUGCCCCCACAGAUGGAUACAUAUCCCCCCCACCCUUGAGUAUGUCCCCUUGUGGGAGGAAGAGUAGUCGAUGCAAGAACCCAAUGGUGCUGUUAGGAAAACAUUUUUAAUGGUUUAUUUUGUAUUCUGGUUCAGCCACGGUCAUUUGCUAUGGAAAAGCCCUAUUACAGUCUCAUAUGUCGAGUUUGUUCUUACGGCAGGCCACACCCGGAGCGAACUGAGUUAUAUUGGCUUAAUUGGUCACUGCUGUAAAGGGCCUUAUGUGUCUUUUGUACUUGCUGUGAAUUGCAUGCCUCAUCUUUAUGGGUUGUCUUUUGCCUUGUUAAAAUUAACAAAACGUUCAUGGAAAUACAAAAAUGAAGACAGACUCCCGGCAUCACUCUGGGGGCCAAGUCCUUCAGAUCGAGGCUCACCCGGCAGACGGUGUUAGGUCGGGAUUGGGUCUUCUCUGAGUUGGGUUGCUUGGGAAUGCAGCACAAAGUGGGUGGUAAACUCCAUCUAAGGCUAAAUAUGGAGCAAGGCCGAUAGCCAACAAGUACAAAAAGGGAAAGUUGGAAAGAACUUUGAAGAGAGUUCAAGUGGGCGUGAAACCGUCAAGAGUUAAACAAGUUGAGUCCAUACAUCCGCCCAGGGAUUCAACACUGCGGGCAGGGAGAUCACCUGGAACGCUGAACCGCUACACGGGCGCACCCGGCCAACGCAGGAUGUAUUUCCUCUGUGAUCGUGCGCCACCACUGUCUCCAAGUCAGCUGGGUAGGACCCUGGGGCAGGUGGCUCUAUUACAGCAACAGUUUCACUGUGUCCAAGGGACCAAUGGAGAUUUGACUGCCCUGGCGCCUCUCAGGGGCCACUGGGGCAGCAACAGGGAACAGGUGCGACUGUCGGCUGGGGUAGACUGUCCUCAUCUCACCCGCUCUGUGGGGAGGUGGAGGAUGUGCAAUAGGACUCGAAAGAGGGUGAUCCAUGCCUUGGGCAGGGCAAAGUCAUAGGAAACUCUGGUGGAGAUCCGUACCGGUCCUGACGUACAAAUCGGUCCUCCAACCUGGUUAUAGGGGUGAAAUACUAAUCGAACCAUGCAGUAGCUGGUUUGCUCCGAAGUUUCCCUCAGGAUAGCUGGUGCUGGGAAACCCCAGUUUUAUCUGGUAAAGCAAAUGAUUAAAGGUUGCGGGGUUGAAUAUCUCAACCUAUUCUCAAACUUCAAAUGGGUAAGGCGCCUGGCUCGCUGCCGUGGAGCCGGGCAUCAACUGCGAGUACCCAGUGGGCCACGUUUCGUAAGCAGAACUGGCACGGUGGGAUGAAUCGAAUGCCGGGUUAAGGCACACGAUGCGCAUCAGACCCAGAAAAGGGGUUGGUUGAUACAGACAGCAGGAAGGUGAACAGCCUCUAGAAUUUUGGAACAAUGUAGGUAAGAGAAUUAGGCAAGUCAGAUCCGUAACUUCGGGAUAAGAUUUGGCUCUAAGGGCUGGGUCGAUCGGGCUGGCUGGGGCAUGAAGCAGGGAUGGGUGUGCGAUGAGGCGGCCCCCUCCCUCCCCCGGGUGAGGUGCCGACGCUGGAUGCGUACCGGGCCCUUCCUGUGUAUCACCCCAGCUGCAGUGGUCACAUCUCUCCGUUCCCCUCCCGGGGUUCCGGGGCGGCGCUCUGCCUCGGCCAACGCCUAAUGGUGUAUGCUUUUAUUGUUAUUUGUUAGUGCAAAUGUUUGAUAGUAUAAUUUUCAGAUGGAUAUUUACUGAGCGGUGUACUUAUCCAUCCUUCUUGUGCUUUAUCAGUCACCAAUAGUGUCUAUUCAGGUGUAAUCUAUCAUGUUGGUGCAGGUUUCGAUUUGACACUGAUGGGCAGCAAUUGUAACCCAGAAUGAGCCACUUCAAAAAAGUGGUGCAAGUAGCCAAAUACCUUGUCAGCUAAUUAGUGAUGCGCAAAAUCAGCAGGGAAAGAAUACUGCAUUAAGCUUGACUCUAGUCUGACAAAGUCAAGAGACAUCAGAAGUGCAUGAUAAGUGGGAGGCCCUCUGACGCCGGUAAAAUACCACUACUCUUAUUAUUUUUUCAUUUACACAGUGGGGUGGGGGUGAUCCUCGUGGGGCUCUCGCUUCUAACUCCAAGCAGCCGCUGACCGCAAUGGGGACAGUGGCAGGUGGGGAGUUUGACUGAGGCGGCACAUCUGUCAAACAAGAACGCAGGUGUCCUAAGGUGAGUGCAGGAAGACAGAAACCUUCCACGGAGCAGAAGGCCAAAAGCUUGCUUGAUCUCCAUGUUGCAGUAUGAAAACAGACUAUGAAAGCAGGGCCUUACGAUCCUUCUGACUUUUUAGUUUCAAGCAGGAGGUGUCAGAAAGGUUAUCACAGGGAUAACUGGCUUGAGGCGGACAAGUGUUCAUAGCGAUAUCGCUUUUUGAUCCUUCAAUGUCGGCUCUUCCCAUCAUUGUGAACCAAAUUUCACCAAGCGUUGGAUCGUUCAACCACUAAUAGGGAACGUGAGCUGGGUUUAGACUGUCGUGAGAAAGAUUCAUUUUACCCGGCUGAUGAUGUGCCGUUGCAAUGGUAAUCCUGCUCAGUACAAGAGGACCCACAGGUUCAGACAUUUGGUGUAUGUGUUUGGCUGAGGAGCCAAUGUGGUGAAGCUACCGUCUGAGGGAUUAUGACUGAAUGCCUCAAACUCAGAAUCCACCCUAAACCGCAACUAUACCGCAGUGCUGUAGAGCCUUGGUUGGCCUCAGACAGCCAGCCGCUUGGCCGGUGCGCAGAGUCGCUUGCCUCAGGACUCUAGUGUGGACAGAAGGAGGCCACCUCUCUCGUCCGUAGUGCACCGCAUGUUCGUGGGGAACCCGAUUCUAAAUCAUGCAUAGACAACCUGAUUCUGGGUCAGGGUUUGGUAAGUAACAGAGCAGUGGCCUUGCUGCGAUCUAUUGCAAGUCAUUCUCUGGGCCAAGCUUUUGUC
This 3176-nucleotide ribosomal RNA is filed under the name Ambystoma mexicanum (axolotl). RNAcentral describes it as "eukaryotic LSU rRNA". The stretch from base 552 to 3175 matches the Rfam family "Eukaryotic large subunit ribosomal RNA". The record is from RNAcentral. Lineage: Eukaryota; Metazoa; Chordata; Amphibia; Caudata; Ambystomatidae.